Pan troglodytes (chimpanzee) is the source of this 701-nucleotide long non-coding RNA. RefSeq lists it as uncharacterized. Lineage: Eukaryota; Metazoa; Chordata; Mammalia; Primates; Hominidae. The record is from RefSeq and is a predicted model, not a curated record. The transcript is spliced from 2 exons.
UCCUGGUCCUGGAUUCACCCUUGCAGCCGUGUGGACAGAGAACCCCAGGCAGUGGAGGCGAGGGUACCGCUCCACCACUACGCAGCCCGACCAGGGAUGUGCCAGUUUCUUGCUGUUGCUAAAGCCCAGGCGUCUCACCAUCAGGGCUGGCUCUCAGACCCUGCUGCACCUCCGUCUCUUCAUUAAAGUCUGCUCCUCUAAGCCAUCUAGAGUGAACUGUUUCCUGUUAGGAUCCUGACCAAUGAUACAGCUUCACCCCUUACUUUCUGUUGGCUUUCAGCAAUCAUCAUCAUCAUUGAACUAAUAAUAACACCAGCCACCACUUACUCAGGGUUUGCCAUAGGCCAGGCACCGGUCAAGUGCUUGAGAUGAUUUCAUUUAGUUCUCACCAUUUCUACCUCUGUGAAUUGGUCCCAUUUUACUGAUGAAGAGCCUGUGGCUUAGAGAAGUAAAAUAACUGGCUUGCAAUCACACAGGAAGAGACUCAAGAGCUGGAUGUGUCCAACUGCAAACCUUCUUUCCAGAACCCUCUAUCCUGACAGUGAUAGAAUGAGCUCCAGGCUAGGAGUAAGGCCUGUCCUGGCCACCUCCUAGCUGUGUGGCCCUGGGCACAGGACAUUUAACUUACUCCAAGAGGCUGAGUUUGUUAGAUGUUUUGUAAACUGUAAUGUACUAAAUUGGUAUAAGAGAUUGGAAAAUCA